Molecule: ribosomal RNA, 1035 nt
Filed under: uncultured bacterium
Lineage: Bacteria
Description: bacterial SSU rRNA
Rfam family: Bacterial small subunit ribosomal RNA
Source: RNAcentral
AGAGUUUGAUCCUGGCUCAGAAUCAACGCUGGCGGCGUGCCUAACACAUGCAAGUCGAGCGCGGUUACCCCGGAAGGGGUGACUGACUGGCAAACGGGUGAUUAACGCGCGAGUGACCUACCUUCGAGUGGCGGAUAACGUUUCGAAAGGAACGCUAAUACCUCAUGACAUCCUGCCUUUGGACGAGGAGAGAUUCAAGCCGGGGAUCGGAGGACCUGGCCCUUGGAGAGGGGCCCGAGUCCGAUUAUCUAGUUGGUGGGGUAACGGCUCACCACUGAGACGAUGGGUAGCCGGCCUGAGAGGGCGGACGGCCACACUGGGACUGAGAGGGGCCCAGACUCCUACUUGAGGCAUGGCCGGGGAAUUGUUCGCAAUGCGCCCAAGGCUGAAUACCCCUCUUCGCAUGGAGGAUGACUUUCUUCUGAUUGUAAACUCCUGUUGAUCCUGACGAACAACCAUCGGGAUAACACCCCGGAGGUCUGACGGUGCCGAUUGACGAAGCCCCGGCUAACUCUCGACCGUCGUCCGCAGUAAUUGGGAGGGGGCGAGCGUUGUUCGGAAUUACUGGUCGUACAGGGAGUGCACGCGGUCGCCCUGGUCACAGGUGAAAUCCCUCGGCUCAUUGAAUCAACUGCGUCUGAUACUGGUUGCCUUGAUUUCGGGAGAGGGAUGCGAAAUUCGGAGUGUUACGGUGAAAUGCGUAGAUAUCUGGAGGAACACCGGUGGCGAAUGAGCGUCCUGGACGGAGAUAACGCUGAAGCUCGAACGCCAGGCCACACACGGGAUUAGAUACCCGGUGGGCCUGGCCCUAAACCAUGACGCUCGGAAGUGACGGCUAUCAAUCCCUCGCCUGCGAAUCUAGCCGAUAGGCUCUCCGCCAGGGAGUGAGGCGCCACGCUGAAACUGCAGGGAAUUGAGGUCGUCCGACCAACGCGAAACACGUGCUUAAUUCGACGACACGAAACCUACCAGCCUCAACGCAGGAAAGACGCGAAGCGCUUGCCCGACGACACCUGUUACGGUGCUGCAUGGCCG